AACGAACGCUGGCGGCAGGCUUAACACAUGCAAGUCGAACGCAUCCUUCGGGGUGAGUGGCAGACGGGUGAGUAACGCGUGGGAACGUGCCCUUCAGUUCGGGAUAACCCAGGGAAACUUGGGCUAAUACCGGAUACGUGCGCGAGCAGAAAGAUUUAUCGCUGAAGGAUCGGCCCCCGUAUGAUUAGCUAGUUGGUGGGGUAAUGGCCCACCAAGCCGACGAUCAGUAGCUGGUGUGAGAGGAUGAUCAGCCACAUUGGGACUGAGACACGGCCCAAACUCCUACGGGAGGCAGCAGUGUGGAAUAUUGGACAAUGGGCGCAAGCCUGAUCCAGCCAUGCCGCGUGAGUGAUGAAGGCCUUAGGGUUGUAAAGCUCUUUCGUCCGGGACGAUAAUGACGGUACCGGAAGAAGAAGCCCCGGCUAACUUCGUGCCAGCAGCCGCCGUAA
RNAcentral lists this ribosomal RNA (449 nucleotides) under uncultured bacterium. RNAcentral's name for it is "partial 16S ribosomal RNA". It matches the Rfam family "Bacterial small subunit ribosomal RNA", at positions 29 to 523 of the family's 1533-position model. The record is from RNAcentral.